This 268-nucleotide unclassified non-coding RNA is filed under the name Ambisporaceae sp. Its description in RNAcentral is "partial contains 5.8S ribosomal RNA and internal transcribed spacer 2". The stretch from base 1 to 71 matches the Rfam family "5.8S ribosomal RNA", at positions 84 to 154 of the family's 154-position model. The record is from RNAcentral. Lineage: Eukaryota; Fungi; Glomeromycota; Glomeromycetes; Archaeosporales; Ambisporaceae.
GUGAAUCAUCGAAUCUUUGAACGCAUAUUGCGCUUUCUGGUAUUCCGGAGAGCAUGCCUGUUUGAGGGUAAUUAAAAGAAAUCUUUAUUCGCUUUUGAGAUUUAGGAAUAUGGGUUUUCCACGUUUAAUUUCGUGGUAAUCUGAAAUUAAUUGUAGUCUUCAUUUAUUCGAGAUGCGUAAUACUAUUAUUUAGUGAAACGAUUAAUGAUUGAUCUAGUUUUAAUUACCAUGGUAAGACUCUUGAAACAAAUAAUUUUAGACUUAAUUU